Molecule: ribosomal RNA, 468 nt
Filed under: uncultured bacterium
Lineage: Bacteria
Description: partial 16S ribosomal RNA
Rfam family: Bacterial small subunit ribosomal RNA
Source: RNAcentral
GACGAACGCUGGCGGCGUGCUUAACACAUGCAAGUCGAACGGAAAGGCCCUGCUUUUGUGGGGUGCUCGAGUGGCGAACGGGUGAGUAACAUGUGAGUAACCUGCCCUUGACUUUGGGAUAACUUCAGGAAACUGGGGCUAAUACCGGAUAGGAGCUCCUGCUGCAUGGUGGGGGUUGGAAAGUUUCGGCGGUUGGGGAUGGACUCGCGGCUUAUCAGCUUGUUGAUGGGGUAGUGGCUUACCAAGGCUUUGACGGGUAGCCGGCCUGAGAGGGUGACCGGCCACAUUGGGACUGAGAUACGGCCCAGACUCCUACGGGAGGCAGCAGUGGGGAAUAUUGCACAAUGGGCGGAAGCCUGAUGCAGCAACGCCGCGUGCGGGAUGACGGCCUUCGGGUUGUAAACCGCUUUCGCCUGUGACGAAGCGUGAGUGACGGUAAUGGGUAAAGAAGCACCGGCUAACUACGUG